RNAcentral lists this ribosomal RNA (1246 nucleotides) under uncultured Actinomycetes bacterium. RNAcentral describes it as "bacterial SSU rRNA". It matches the Rfam family "Bacterial small subunit ribosomal RNA", at positions 223 to 1471 of the family's 1533-position model. Lineage: Bacteria; Bacillati; Actinomycetota; Actinomycetes. The record is from RNAcentral.
GGAUGAGCCCGCGGCCUAUCAGCUUGUUGGUGGGGUGAUGGCCUACCAAGGCGACGACGGGUAGCCGGCCUGAGAGGGUGACCGGCCACACUGGGACUGAGAUACGGCCCAGACUCCUACGGGAGGCAGCAGUGGGGAAUAUUGCACAAUGGGCGCAAGCCUGAUGCAGCGACGCCGCGUGAGGGAUGACGGCCUUCGGGUUGUAAACCUCUUUCAGCAGGGACGAAGCGCAAGUGACGGUACCUGUAGAAGAAGGACCGGCCAACUACGUGCCAGCAGCCGCGGUAAUACGUAGGGUCCGAGCGUUGUCCGGAAUUACUGGGCGUAAAGAGCUCGUAGGUGGUUUGUCGCGUUGUUCGUGAAAACUCACAGCUUAACUGUGGGCGUGCGGGCGAUACGGGCAGACUGGAGUACUGCAGGGGAGACUGGAAUUCCUGGUGUAGCGGUGGAAUGCGCAGAUAUCAGGAAGGAACACCGGGUGGCGAAAGGCGGGUCUCUGGGCAGUAAACUGACGCUGAGGAGCAAAAAGCGUGGGGAGCGAACAGGAUUAGAUACCCUGGUAGUCCACGCCGUAAACGGUGGGUACUAGGUGUGGGUUUCCUUCCUGGGAUCCCGUGCCGUAGCUAACGCAUUAAGUACCCCGCCUGGGGAGUACGGCCGCAAGGCUAAAACUCAAAGGAAUUGACGGGGGCCCGCACAAGCGGCGGAGCAUGUGGAUUAAUUCGAUGCAACGCGAAGAACCUUACCUGGGUUUGACAUGCACAGGACGCCGGCAGAGAUGUCGGUUCCCUUGUGGCCUGUGUGCAGGUGGUGCAUGGCUGUCGUCAGCUCGUGUCGUGAGAUGUUGGGUUAAGUCCCGCAACGAGCGCAACCCUUGUCUCAUGUUGCCAGCACGUUAUGGUGGGGACUCGUGAGAGACUGCCGGGGUCAACUCGGAGGAAGGUGGGGAUGACGUCAAGUCAUCAUGCCCCUUAUGUCCAGGGCUUCACACAUGCUACAAUGGCCGGUACAAAGGGCUGCGAUGCCGUGAGGUGGAGCGAAUCCUUUCAAAGCCGGUCUCAGUUCGGAUCGGGGUCUGCAACUCGACCCCGUGAAGUCGGAGUCGCUAGUAAUCGCAGAUCAGCAACGCUGCGGUGAAUACGUUCCCGGGCCUUGUACACACCGCCCGUCACGUCAUGAAAGUCGGUAACACCCGAAGCCGGUGGCCUAACCCCUUGUGGGAGGGAGCCGUCGAAGGUGGGGCUGG